Molecule: ribosomal RNA, 200 nt
Filed under: uncultured bacterium
Lineage: Bacteria
Description: partial 16S ribosomal RNA
Rfam family: Bacterial small subunit ribosomal RNA
Source: RNAcentral
GACGUAGGGUGCGAGCGUUGUCCGGAUUUAUUGGGCGUAAAGAGCUCGUAGGCAGCUCGUCGCGUCGGCUGUGAAAACCCGCGGCUUAACUGUGGGCUUGCAGCUGAUACGGGCGGGCUAGAGUUCGGUAGGGGAGACUGGAAUUCCUGGUGUAGCGGUGAAAUGCGCAGAUAUCAGGAGGAACACCGGUGGCGAAGGCG